RNAcentral lists this long non-coding RNA (1291 nucleotides) under Apteryx haastii (Great spotted kiwi). RNAcentral's name for it is "lncRNA (ENSAHAG00000009449.1)". The record is from RNAcentral. Lineage: Eukaryota; Metazoa; Chordata; Aves; Apterygiformes; Apterygidae.
GGCGCCUGCCUCAACCGAACCAACGGUCCCGUGAACCGGCCGCGGCGUGCGGCGGCCCGGGGAGAGGCGCUAAYGGGGUCGGGCGACCCUUCCCCAUCCCCGAGUCCCGCACGAGCCUCGCGGGGGACCGAGACCUGGAGAGAYGCAAGGCCGAGCGGCGAACGCGGCUCCUCCAGCCGCCGCUUCCCUGCUGCGAGCRAGGACCCGGAGCGCGGCCUCAAAAAUCUCAACCCCGGGGCCCAGGGCCCUGCCGGAGGGGUCGAAGCCGACGCAGUCGAAGCUCUUCUUGCAGCAUCAUCUGGGCCGAGCAGGUUUCCUGUUAGGCAACGCCGCCGCCGCCAGCCGGGCCCCACGCAGGAAGCGGCGCCGAGCACCCUCUUCUCGGCGCCCGGAGCCGCUCCGGAGCCCCGAAACGGCUUCGCGAGCCGCCGGCAGCACGAGGCGCCGCGCGGAGCCCGGCCGCCUUCAACAACCACCUCGCRGGGCAGAGAGGAGGCAAGGCCGCGAGGAAAGCGGGAUGCCGAAACGCGGGCGCCCGCGCUGCCGGAGCGUAACGGGCCUCCUUCCAUCAGCGGCAAGAGGCAACGGUGCAAAACUUCCCCUCCCCUCGCGGCAGCUGGACCGUCUCGGCCUGGCUUCGCCCCGAGCUCGACGGGUCCCACCCUGCCGGGGCAGGGUGCUCUGCCCUGCGCCCAUCCCAGCGGAUGUGCCGAAGAGCCUGUUUUUGGCGGAGGCUGGCGUUCGCUGCCGGGCACAGACGGCUUCCCGAGGACAGUCUCUACGAGCAGAGGCGAUUCCUGCUCUUCUCCAGUGUCAACGCUCUCGCCAGGCUGGGAUGCAGGCGGCAUUUCGGGUCCGACUACAGGUGCCGGAUUGGCAUCGGCAAAACCCGGGAGCAUCUYGCCUCCUCCCGGAUGCGCAGGACGCCCCUGGCUCUCCGCUCCUGCCCAGCUGGCUGAUCCCAGACCCCCGGGGCUCAGUUUUACUUGUAAAAGGCCGGAUCGUGGCCAUGGGCUGCCCACCCUGAGCCAGCCUGGCCACCCCGGCGCGCAGCACGGGAGCCGUCGUGCCCCGCUCCGGCACCCAGCUGACGGCCCGAAGGCCAGCGGCCUCCCUCAGGGCUUGCCGGCCACGGAGAGCGGCGGAGCCUCUCCCCGCGGCCACRGGCCUCGCCGCCAGCCCGGCGGGGACGCCGCGGGGCGAUGCCUCGGGGCAGCGGCAGCCCAAGGCGGCAGGCUGCCAGCACGCGGCCUAACCCGGCCCUGUUUUUUUUUUUUCGGCUGAGACUCCA